This 253-nucleotide ribosomal RNA is filed under the name uncultured bacterium. Its description in RNAcentral is "partial 16S ribosomal RNA". It matches the Rfam family "Bacterial small subunit ribosomal RNA", at positions 524 to 776 of the family's 1533-position model. The record is from RNAcentral.
UACAGAGGUCUCAAGCGUUGUUCGGAUUCAUUGGGCGUAAAGGGUGCGUAGGCGGCGCGGUAAGUCGGGUGUGAAAUCUCGGAGCUUAACUCCGAAACUGCAUUCGAUACUGCCGUGCUUGAGGACUGGAGAGGAGACUGGAAUUUACGGUGUAGCGGUGAAAUGCGUAGAUAUCGUAAGGAACACCCAGGGGGAAACCAGCCGACUGGGCAAGUGCUGACGCUGAGGUGCGAGAGCGUGGGGAGCGAACCGG